RNAcentral lists this transfer RNA (75 nucleotides) under Clostridia bacterium. RNAcentral's name for it is "tRNA-Asn". It matches the Rfam family "tRNA". From Rfam's summary of the family: Transfer RNA (tRNA) molecules are approximately 80 nucleotides in length. Their secondary structure includes four short double-helical elements and three loops (D, anti-codon, and T loops). The record is from RNAcentral. Lineage: Bacteria; Bacillati; Bacillota; Clostridia.
UCCGAGGUAGCUCAAUGGUGGAGCACUCGGCUGUUAACCGAUAGGCUGUGGGUUCGAGCCCCACCCUCGGAGCCA